AUUUAUGUAGUUUAAAUAAAACAUUACAUUUUCAUUGUAAAAAUAAUAAUAAGAAUAUUCUUAAAUA
This 67-nucleotide transfer RNA is filed under the name Bolivaritettix sikkinensis. RNAcentral describes it as "tRNA-Glu". Lineage: Eukaryota; Metazoa; Arthropoda; Insecta; Orthoptera; Tetrigidae. The record is from RNAcentral.